GAUGAACGCUGGCGGCGUGCCUAAUACAUGCAAGUCGAGCGAACAGAUAAGGAGCUUGCUCCUUUGACGUUAGCGGCGGACGGGUGAGUUACACGUGGAUAACCUACCUAUAAGACUGGGAUAACUUCGGGAAACCGGAGCUAAUACCGGAUAACAUAUUGAACCGCAUGGUUCAAUAGUGAAAGGCGGCUUUGCUGUCACUUAUAGAUGGAUCCGCGCCGUAUUAGCUAGUUGGUAAGGUAACGGCUUACCAAGGCAACGAUACGUAGCCGACCUGAGAGGGUGAUCGGCCACACUGGAACUGAGACACGGUCCAGACUCCUACGGGAGGCAGCAGUAGGGAAUCUUCCGCAAUGGGCGAAAGCCUGACGGAGCAACGCCGCGUGAGUGAUGAAGGUCUUCGGAUCGUAAAACUCUGUUAUCAGGGAAGAACAAAUGUGUAAGUAACUGCGCACAUCUUGACGGUACCUGAUCAGAAAGCCACGGCUAACUACGUG
Molecule: ribosomal RNA, 497 nt
Filed under: uncultured bacterium
Lineage: Bacteria
Description: partial 16S ribosomal RNA
Rfam family: Bacterial small subunit ribosomal RNA
Source: RNAcentral